CCUACGGGAGGCUGCAGUGGGGAAUAUUGGACAAUGGGCGAAAGCCUGAUCCAGCCAUGCCGCGUGUGUGAAGAAGGCCUUCGGGUUGUAAAGCACUUUCAGUGGGGAAGAAAGCCUUGGGGCUAAUACCCUCGAGGAAGGACAUCACCCACAGAAGAAGCACCGGCUAACUCCGUGCCAGCAGCCACGGUAAUACGGAGGGUGCGAGCGUUAAUCGGAAUUACUGGGCGUAAAGCGCGCGUAGGCGGUCUGAUAAGCCGGUUGUGAAAGCCCCGGGCUCAACCUGGGAACGGCAUCCGGAACUGUCAGGCUAGAGUGCAGGAGAGGAAGGUAGAAUUCCCGGUGUAGCGGUGAAAUGCGUAGAGAUCGGGAGGAAUACCAGUGGCGAAGGCGGCCUUCUGGACUGACACUGACGCUGAGGUGCGAAAGCGUGGGUAGCAAACAGGAUUAGAUACCCUGGUAGUC
Molecule: ribosomal RNA, 465 nt
Filed under: Vreelandella stevensii
Lineage: Bacteria; Pseudomonadati; Pseudomonadota; Gammaproteobacteria; Oceanospirillales; Halomonadaceae
Description: partial 16S ribosomal RNA
Rfam family: Bacterial small subunit ribosomal RNA
Source: RNAcentral